This 157-nucleotide ribosomal RNA is filed under the name uncultured bacterium. Its description in RNAcentral is "partial 16S ribosomal RNA". It matches the Rfam family "Bacterial small subunit ribosomal RNA", at positions 355 to 509 of the family's 1533-position model. The record is from RNAcentral.
UGAGGAAUAUUGGUCAAUGGGCGGGAGCCUGAACCAGCCAAGCCGCGUGAGGGAAUAAGGCGCCAAGCGUCGUAAACCUCUUUUGUCAGGGAACAAAAGCGGGCACGCGUGCCCGUCCGAGUGUACCUGAAGAAAAAGCAUCGGCUAACUCCGUGCC